This 1441-nucleotide ribosomal RNA is filed under the name uncultured bacterium. RNAcentral describes it as "bacterial SSU rRNA". It matches the Rfam family "Bacterial small subunit ribosomal RNA". The record is from RNAcentral.
AACGCUGGCGGCGUGCUUCAGGCAUGCAAGUCGAACGGACCUUCGGGUCAGUGGCGGACGGGUGAGUAACACGUGAGCAACCUGCCCAGAUGUGGGGAAUAACCCACCGAAAGGUGAGCUAAUACCGCAUGUGAUGGACCUUCCCUGGAGGGUUCAUCAAAGGCUUCGGCCGCAUUUGGAGGGGCUUGCGCUCGAUUAGCUAGUUGGUGGGGUAAUGGCCUACCAAGGCGACGAUCGAUAGCUGGUCUGAGAGGACGGUCAGCCACACGGGGACUGAGAUACGGCCCCGACUCCUACGGGAGGCAGCAGCUAGGAAUCUUGGGAAUGGGCGAAAGCCUGACCCAGCAACGCCGCGUGGGCGAUGAAGGCCUUAGGGUCGUAAAGCCCUUUUGUGGGGGACGAUGAUGACGGUACCCCACGAAUAAGCCACGGCUAACUACGUGCCAGCAGCCGCGGUAAUACGUAGGUGGCGAGCGUUGUCCGGAUUUACUGGGCGUAAAGGGCGCGCAGGCGGUCUGUUUAGUCUAGGGUGAAAGCUCCCGGCUCAACUGGGAGAGGUCCUUGGAUACUGGCAGACUCGAGGGAGGCAGAGGAAAGUGGAAUUCCCGGUGUAGUGGUGAUAUGCGUAGAUAUCGGGAGGAACACCAGUGGCGAAGGCGGCUUUCUGGGCCUUACCUGACGCUGAGGCGCGAAAGCGUGGGGAGCGAACCGGAUUAGAUACCCGGGUAGUCCACGCCGUAAACGAUGGACACUAGGUGUGGGGGGUAUCGACCCCCUCCGUGCCGCAGCUAACGCAAUAAGUGUCCCGCCUGGGGAGUACGGCCGCAAGGCUAAAACUCAAAGGAAUUGACGGGGGCCCGCACAAGCAGCGGAGCGUGCGGUUUAAUUCGUCGCAACGCGAAGAACCUUACCAAGGCUUGACAUGCUAGUGGUACUGAUCCGAAAGGUGAGGGACCCUUCGGGGAGCUAGCACAGGUGCUGCAUGGCUGUCGUCAGCUCGUGCCGUGAGGUGUUGGGUUAAGUCCCGCAACGAGCGCAACCCUUGUCCUAUGUUGCCAGCACGUAAUGGUGGGGACUCAUGGGAGACUGCCGGGGAUAACUCGGAGGAAGGUGAGGACGACGUCAAGUCAUCAUGCCCCUUAUAUCCAGGGCUGCACGCAUGCUACAAUGGUCGGUACAACGGGCAGCGAACUCGCGAGAGUCAGCGAAUCCCUUAAAGCCGGCCUUAGUUCGGAUUGGAGUCUGCAACUCGACUCCAUGAAGUCGGAGUCGCUAGUAAUCGCGGAUCAGCAAAGCCGCGGUGAAUGCGUUCUCGGGGAUUGUACACACCGCCCGUCAAGUCACGGAAGUCGGCAACACCCAAAGUCAGUGGCCUAACCCUUCGGGGAGGGAGCUGCCUAAGGUGGGGUCGGUAACUGGGACUAAGUCGUAACAAGGUAAC